GACGAACGCUGGCGGCGUGCUUAACACAUGCAAGUCGAACGGAAAGGCCCUGCUUUUGUGGGGUGCUCGAGUGGCGAACGGGUGAGUAACAAGUGAGUAACCUGCCCUUGACUUUGGGAUAACUUCAGGAAACUGGGGCUAAUAACGGAUAGGAGCUCCUGCUGAAUGGUGGGGGUUGGAAAGUUUCGGCGGUUGGGGAUGGACUCGCGGCUUAUAAGCUUGUUGGUGGGGGAGUGGCUUACCAAGGCUUUGACGGGUAGCCGGCCUGAGAGGGUGACCGGCCACAUUGGGACUGAGAUACGGCCCAGACUCCUACGGGAGGCAGCAGUGGGGAAUAUUGCACAAUGGGCGGAAGCCUGAUGCAGCAACGCCGCGUGCGGGAUGACGGCCUUCGGGUUGUAAACCGCUUUCGCCUGUGACGAAGCGUGAGUGACGGUAAUGGGUAAAGAAGCACCGGCUAACUACGUG
RNAcentral lists this ribosomal RNA (468 nucleotides) under uncultured bacterium. RNAcentral describes it as "partial 16S ribosomal RNA". It matches the Rfam family "Bacterial small subunit ribosomal RNA", at positions 28 to 507 of the family's 1533-position model. The record is from RNAcentral.